Molecule: ribosomal RNA, 253 nt
Filed under: uncultured bacterium
Lineage: Bacteria
Description: partial 16S ribosomal RNA
Rfam family: Bacterial small subunit ribosomal RNA
Source: RNAcentral
UACAGAGGUCCCAAGCGUUGUUCGGAUUCACUGGGCGUAAAGGGUGCGUAGGUGGUGAGGUAAGUCGGAUGUGAAAGCUCGGAGCUCAACUCCGAAAUGGCAUUGGAAACUACCUUGCUCGAGGGUUGGAGGGGGGACUGGAAUGCUUGGUGUAGCAGUGAAGUGCGUAGAUAUCAAGCGGAACACCAGUGGCGAAGGCGAGUCCCUGGACAACUCCUGACACUGAGGCACGAAAGCUAGGGGAGCAAACAGG